RNAcentral lists this ribosomal RNA (499 nucleotides) under uncultured bacterium. RNAcentral describes it as "partial 16S ribosomal RNA". It matches the Rfam family "Bacterial small subunit ribosomal RNA", at positions 28 to 507 of the family's 1533-position model. The record is from RNAcentral.
GACGAACGCUGGCGGCGUGCCUAAUACAUGCAAGUCGAGCGGACCGAACAGGAGCUUGCUCUUGUUCGGUUAGCGGCGGACGGGUGAGUAACACGUGGGUAACCUGCCCGUAAGACCGGGAUAACUCCGGGAAACCGGAGCUAAUACCGGAUAACACCGAAGACCGCAUGGUCUUUGGUUGAAAGGCGGCUUCGGCUGCCACUUACGGAUGGGCCCGCGGCGCAUUAGCUAGUUGGUGAGGUAACGGCUCACCAAGGCGACGAUGCGUAGCCGGCCUGAGAGGGGGACCGGCCACACUGGGACUGAGACACGGCCCAGACUCCUACGGGAGGCAGCAGUAGGGAAUCUUCCGCAAUGGACGAAAGUCUGACGGAGCGACGCCGCGUGAGCGAAGAAGGUCUUCGGAUCGUAAAGCUCUGUUGUUAGGGAAGAAGAAGCGUCGUUCGAACAGGGCGGCGCGGUGACGGUACCUAACGAGAAAGCCCCGGCUAACUACGUG